This 368-nucleotide ribosomal RNA is filed under the name uncultured organism. Its description in RNAcentral is "bacterial SSU rRNA". It matches the Rfam family "Bacterial small subunit ribosomal RNA", at positions 526 to 896 of the family's 1533-position model. The record is from RNAcentral.
CGGAGGGUGCAAGCGUUAUCCGGAUUCACUGGGUUUAAAGGGUGCGUAGGUGGGUAAGUAAGUCAGUGGUGAAAUCUCCGGGCUUAACCCGGAAACUGCCAUUGAUACUAUUUGUCUUGAAUACUGUGGGGGUCAGCGGAAUAUGUCAUGUAGCGGUGAAAUGCUUAGAUAUGACAUAGAACACCAAUUGCGAAGGCAGCUGGCUACACAAAUAUUGACACUGAGGCACGAAAGCGUGGGGAUCAAACAGGAUUAGAUACCCUGGUAGUCCACGCCCUAAACUAUGGAUACUCGACAUUUGCGAUAAACUGCAAGUGUCUGAGCGAAAGCAUUAAGUAUCCCACCUGGGAAGUACGAUCGCAAGAUUG